GACGAACGCUGGCGGCGUGCUUGACACAUGCAAGUCGAACGGUAAGGCUCCAGCUUGCUGGGGUACACGAGUGGCGAACGGGUGAGUAACACGUGGGUGACCUGCCCUGCACUUCGGGAUAAGCCUGGGAAACUGGGUCUAAUACCGGAUAGGACCGCACCGUGAGGGUGUGGUGGAAAGUUUUUUCGGUGUGGGAUGGGCCCGCGGCCUAUCAGCUUGUUGGUGGGGUAAUGGCCUACCAAGGCGGCGACGGGUAGCCGGCCUGAGAGGGUGGACGGCCACAUUGGGACUGAGACACGGCCCAGACUCCUACGGGAGGCAGCAGUGGGGAAUAUUGCACAAUGGGCGGAAGCCUGAUGCAGCGACGCCGCGUGGGGGAUGACGGCCUUCGGGUUGUAAACUCCUUUCACCAUCGACGAAGGGUUUCUGACGGUAGAUGGAGAAGAAGCACCGGCUAACUACGUGCCAGCAGCCGCGGUAAUACGUAGGGUGCGAGCGUUGUCCGGAAUUACUGGGCGUAAAGAGCUCGUAGGUGGUUUGUCGCGUCGUCUGUGAAAUCCCGGGGCUUAACUCCGGGCGUGCAGGCGAUACGGGCAUAACUUGAGUACUGUAGGGGAGACUGGAAUUCCUGGUGUAGCGGUGAAAUGCGCAGAUAUCAGGAGGAACACCGGUGGCGAAGGCGGGUCUCUGGGCAGUAACUGACGCUGAGGAGCGAAAGCAUGGGGAGCGAACAGGAUUAGAUACCCUGGUAGUCCAUGCCGUAAACGGUGGGCGCUAGGUGUGGGUUUCCUUCCACGGGAUCCGUGCCGUAGCUAACGCAUUAAGCGCCCCGCCUGGGGAGUACGGCCGCAAGGCUAAAACUCAAAGGAAUUGACGGGGGCCCGCACAAGCGGCGGAGCAUGUGGAUUAAUUCGAUGCAACGCGAAGAACCUUACCUGGGCUUGACAUAUACAGGAUCGCGCCAGAGAUGGUGUUUCCCUUGUGGCUUGUAUACAGGUGGUGCAUGGUUGUCGUCAGCUCGUGUCGUGAGAUGUUGGGUUAAGUCCCGCAACGAGCGCAACCCUUGUCUUAUGUUGCCAGCACGUUGUGGUGGGGACUCGUAAGAAACUGCCGGGGUUAGCUCGGAGGAAGGUGGGGAUGACGUCAAAUCAUCAUGCCCCUUAUGUCCAGGGCUUCACACAUGCUACAAUGGUCGGUACAGUGGGCUGCCAGUCCGUGAGGGCGAGCUAAUCCCGCAAAGCCGGUCUCAGUUCGGAUCGGGGUCUGCAACUCGACCCCGUGAAGUCGGAGUCGCUAGUAAUCGCAGAUCAGCAACGCUGCGGUGAAUACGUUCCCGGGCC
Molecule: ribosomal RNA, 1340 nt
Filed under: uncultured bacterium
Lineage: Bacteria
Description: partial 16S ribosomal RNA
Rfam family: Bacterial small subunit ribosomal RNA
Source: RNAcentral